This 752-nucleotide ribosomal RNA is filed under the name Escherichia coli. RNAcentral describes it as "partial 23S ribosomal RNA". It matches the Rfam family "Bacterial large subunit ribosomal RNA", at positions 72 to 867 of the family's 2925-position model. RNAcentral also lists the same sequence under 1 other name. Lineage: Bacteria; Pseudomonadati; Pseudomonadota; Gammaproteobacteria; Enterobacterales; Enterobacteriaceae. The record is from RNAcentral.
UAAGCGUCGGUAAGGUGAUAUGAACCGUUAUAACCGGCGAUUUCCGAAUGGGGAAACCCAGUGUGAUUCGUCACACUAUCAUUAACUGAAUCCAUAGGUUAAUGAGGCGAACCGGGGGAACUGAAACAUCUAAGUACCCCGAGGAAAAGAAAUCAACCGAGAUUCCCCCAGUAGCGGCGAGCGAACGGGGAGGAGCCCAGAGCCUGAAUCAGUGUGUGUGUUAGUGGAAGCGUCUGGAAAGGCGCGCGAUACAGGGUGACAGCCCCGUACACAAAAAUGCACAUGCUGUGAGCUCGAUGAGUAGGGCGGGACACGUGGUAUCCUGUCUGAAUAUGGGGGGACCAUCCUCCAAGGCUAAAUACUCCUGACUGACCGAUAGUGAACCAGUACCGUGAGGGAAAGGCGAAAAGAACCCCGGCGAGGGGAGUGAAAAAGAACCUGAAACCGUGUACGUACAAGCAGUGGGAGCCUCUUUAUGGGGUGACUGCGUACCUUUUGUAUAAUGGGUCAGCGACUUAUAUUCUGUAGCAAGGUUAACCGAAUAGGGGAGCCGAAGGGAAACCGAGUCUUAACUGGGCGUUAAGUUGCAGGGUAUAGACCCGAAACCCGGUGAUCUAGCCAUGGGCAGGUUGAAGGUUGGGUAACACUAACUGGAGGACCGAACCGACUAAUGUUGAAAAAUUAGCGGAUGACUUGUGGCUGGGGGUGAAAGGCCAAUCAAACCGGGAGAUAGCUGGUUCUCCCCGAAAGCU